RNAcentral lists this long non-coding RNA (999 nucleotides) under Nicotiana benthamiana. RNAcentral's name for it is "long non-coding RNA (NBEN_LNC027752)". Lineage: Eukaryota; Viridiplantae; Streptophyta; Magnoliopsida; Solanales; Solanaceae. The record is from RNAcentral.
ACACAUCUGAGACCUCAAAAAAGGCAGCGUCGUUACACUUCUUGGUCUUCUUCUCACUUUCCACUUAACAAUCAGACCUCCGCACACCAGAGAAAACAACGAACAACACACUCUCUUGUUAUCCAUUCCCUCCUCUCCUCAUUUUCAUAACUCCACCCACACAUAGAUAUCUCAUAAAACAAGGCUAAAAAAGGAGUUAUGGAUUAAAUUAUUUGAAUUCCAGAUCUGAAAAUACCAAAAAAUUCCCAUAAACGAAAAUAAACAAGAAGAAGCGAUUAAAAAAGGGAAUUCGAAGCUAUUUUCCAAUUCCUACUCGAUUGCUGCAUGUCUUUCUUGGGUUUAGGAAGCUGUUGAGAAUGAAGAGCCGUUGUUUGUUUGCUGAACUCGUUUGGCCUCAAGUUGCUGAGUUUUCAUUUCCGUAACUUCAUACCUUUAAUUGGUCUAGGUCUAGUGUUUUAGUAACUGUCCAGGUAAUCCUUCCAAACUGUACCGCUGCUUAAUUUUUUUCGGAUCAUGAAAUCAUAAGAAUUUGGACAAGUAAGAUUCAAACAGGAUGUUGGGAACACCUGCAAUGAUAUGUGAUGUGAAGUUACAUAUUUGAUUCAAUUUUAGUUGUUAUUUGGUCGUUUGAACUCAUUAGAGUCCUCUUAAAUCAUGACUGUAGUAUUCAAGAGUUGAAAAAUAUUUAAAUCUAUCAAAUUGGUUGACACUCACCAUGCUAAGUCUUUCUUGAUUACUUUAUUGAAAUGAAAAUUGAUUUGACAUUCAAGUUUACUGCACUUGUUAUUUUAGAAAUGAUUUUGAAUAUGUUUUGUGUCUUCCAUUGAGUAAUGUGGUUUUAGAAGAUUGAAAUUGGGUGAAAUCAUGUGAAUUUGUUUUCCAGAAUUAGUGAAAAAGUGUUGGGAUGUUAUAGCUAUGAUUUUGAAUAGUUUCAUAUGAUACAGCUUUGUGAUUUGACGAUAAUUGCUUUGGAUUUGUUUAACUAUGAACCACCUGAGG